AAGAUUUACUCGCUCUAAUUAGCAACUUCAUUCUUAAAUAAAUGGCAGCUGAGCUGCAAAAUUUUCUCGCAGGAACAACAAAUAUUGAGCUAACAAGGGUUUGGUUUUUAGGGUUUUUAUCAUGCUGCAGCCUGUUUUUUUAAAGCUACCCUUGAAAGGCAGCCGCAUGAAGGAGAUAAGCUUACAGAUUCAUCACGCUCCUCGACAAUAGCUUCUUGGGUCUUGCUCGGCAACAAGUUCC
RNAcentral lists this unclassified non-coding RNA (241 nucleotides) under Hevea brasiliensis (rubber tree). Lineage: Eukaryota; Viridiplantae; Streptophyta; Magnoliopsida; Malpighiales; Euphorbiaceae. The record is from RNAcentral.